GGGGCUGUGGCUCAGAGGUAAAGCGCUCGCCUACCAUGUGUGAGGGUGGAUUCGAUUCCCAGUACCA
Molecule: transfer RNA, 67 nt
Filed under: Marmota marmota marmota (Alpine marmot)
Lineage: Eukaryota; Metazoa; Chordata; Mammalia; Rodentia; Sciuridae
Also listed under: 1 other name
Rfam family: tRNA
About the family: Transfer RNA (tRNA) molecules are approximately 80 nucleotides in length. Their secondary structure includes four short double-helical elements and three loops (D, anti-codon, and T loops). Further hydrogen bonds mediate the characteristic L-shaped molecular structure. tRNAs have two regions of fundamental functional importance: the anti-codon, which is responsible for specific mRNA codon recognition, and the 3' end, to which the tRNAs corresponding amino acid is attached (by aminoacyl-tRNA synthetases). tRNAs cope with the degeneracy of the genetic code in two manners: having more than one tRNA (with a specific anti-codon) for a particular amino acid; and 'wobble' base-pairing, i.e. permitting non-standard base-pairing at the 3rd anti-codon position.
Source: Rfam by way of RNAcentral